GACGAACGCUGGCGGCGUGCUUAACACAUGCAAGUCGAACGAUGAAGCUAGAGCUUGCUCUGGUGAAUUAGUGGCGAACGGGUGAGUAACACGUGGGUAACCUGCCCCGAACUCUGGGAUAACUGCUGGAAACGGUAGCUAAUACUGGAUACGACCUACGAAGGCAUCUUCUGUAGGUGGAAAGAAUUUCGGUUCGGGAUGGACUCGCGGCCUAUCAGCUUGUUGGUGAGGUAAUGGCUCACCAAGGCGACGAGGGGUAGCCGGCCUGAGAGGGUGACCGGCCACACUGGGACUGAGACAUGGACAAGACUCCUACGGGAGGCAGCAGUGGGGAAUAUUGCACAAUGGGCGCAAGCCUGAUGCAGCAACGCCGCGUGAGGGAUAACGGCCUUCGGGUUGUAAACCUCUUUUAGUAGGGAAGACGCGAAAGUGACGGUACCUGCAGAAAAAGCACGGGCUAACUACGUGCCAGCCGCCGCGGUAA
RNAcentral lists this ribosomal RNA (484 nucleotides) under uncultured bacterium. Its description in RNAcentral is "partial 16S ribosomal RNA". It matches the Rfam family "Bacterial small subunit ribosomal RNA", at positions 28 to 523 of the family's 1533-position model. The record is from RNAcentral.